This 430-nucleotide ribosomal RNA is filed under the name uncultured bacterium. RNAcentral describes it as "bacterial SSU rRNA". It matches the Rfam family "Bacterial small subunit ribosomal RNA", at positions 30 to 475 of the family's 1533-position model. The record is from RNAcentral.
AUUGAACGCUGGCGACAUGCCUUACACAUGCAAGUCGAACGGUAACGGGCCUUCGGGUGCCGACGAGUGGCGAACGGGUGAGUAAUGUAUCGGAACGUACCUUUCAGUGGGGGAUAACGUAGCGAAAGUUACGCUAAUACCGCAUAUUCUGUGAGCAGGAAAGCAGGGGAUCGCAAGACCUUGCGCUGAUUGAGCGGCCGAUAUCAGAUUAGCUAGUUGGUGAGGUAAAGGCUCACCAAGGCGACGAUCUGUAGCGGGUCUGAGAGGAUGAUCCGCCACACUGGAACUGAGACACGGUCCAGACUCCUACGGGAGGCAGCAGUGGGGAAUUUUGGACAAUGGGGGGCAACCCUGAUCCAGCCAUGCCGCGUGAGUGAAGAAGGCCUGGUGUAAGCUCUUCGCGGAGAAUCGUAUGGUAUACCUGUGCGGA